AAUUAAGAACCAUAGAAUGACUUCAUUUACGGUACACUCUUGAGCCAAUUAAAAAAAGCAUAAAGUAACAUCAAGGAUUAAUUUCACUCCCCUGCAACUGGUAAGCAUCUUGACAUAAUGGUCGUUGUCAAAGUUCACAUAAUGAAGGGCAGCAACCUGUCAUUUGUUUUAUUGAAGUAAGCAGCUUCAUUGAUGCCAUCAAAAAGAUGCAAAAUGUAGUACAAAAGAGAAUACAAAAUAAACUGAGUUAGCUGCUCCAUUACAUGAGAGGCUAUUCUAAGACCAGGAAGCUAACAAAGUUCAAGAAAUUGUCGGGGAAUCUCCAUGGGACAUAUUGUGCCAGCUAAAAAGAUACAGUAACAGAACAACCUGCCAUAUUAACACAGCAAUCAAGACAUAUACUGAACCGCUUUGGAUCAGAUUAAUUGUUAAAAGAAGCUCCACUAGAGAUCUUUUCAUAAUAUACCUCUGUUAAACAUGAAGAAGUGCAUAGACCAGGCAUGGUUGUGUAUUGUGCCAACUAAAAAGAUACAUUAAUAGAACAACCUGCCAUAUUAACACAGCAACCAAGACAUAUACUGAAUCGCUUUUGAUCAGUUUAAUUGUUAAAAAAAGCUCCACUAGAGAUCUUUUCGUAAUAUACCUCUGUUAAACAUGAAGAAGUGCAUAGACCAGGCAUGGUUGUGUAUGCCCAAGUUGACUCUAAUUUAACGCAUAAAUAUAGAAAUUAAAACUUAUCAAAACUGAGUGUCUGAAAAUGAUGUCUCAACUUUUAAGGAUUUAAAGAACUAUUUUAAAAACCCCAUACCCAUUCCUCUAAUUUUUAAGAAGUGACAAUUCUAUCAAACACCGAAUAGGUUUUUAAAUAUAUCCUCUAGAAGCAAACACCAACUAGUUUAGUAUAUAUAAAUGAAUUAGGAUCAAAGCAAAUCACAAGCAAUAUAGUAAAACAAAUGAAUCAAAAUUAACCUAGACUCCUUGGCGUAAUUGAUAAAGUUGCAACCAUGUGACCAAGAAGUCAUGGAUUCGAGUCGUGAAUAGCAAUGUACGGUAAGACUGCGUACAAUAGAC
This 1071-nucleotide long non-coding RNA is filed under the name Nicotiana benthamiana. Its description in RNAcentral is "long non-coding RNA (NBEN_LNC007120)". Lineage: Eukaryota; Viridiplantae; Streptophyta; Magnoliopsida; Solanales; Solanaceae. The record is from RNAcentral.